Molecule: long non-coding RNA, 2088 nt
Filed under: Apis florea (little honeybee)
Lineage: Eukaryota; Metazoa; Arthropoda; Insecta; Hymenoptera; Apidae
Description: uncharacterized LOC105737377
Source: RNAcentral
UAUAUAUAUAAAACUGAACAUAUGUAUAUAAGAAUAUAUACCAUUGAAUUUUUAUAUUACGCUUUUGCACGGUUCGAGUGGAAAUUCCGCUGAAUGCGGCUGGCUGGUUGCAUAGCCGAUAUAACUGAUGCAGGGGAAGAACGAAUAUACGCGAUAGAACUGCAAUAUUGGAUAGAUUUGUAAUACACGAGGGAUUCAGAACAAUCAGCCACGCAAAAUGUUGGUUUUAAAUGUUAAAAAUCAAAUGUCAUGAGAUUUGCGAAUCUGUACUAUUUUAUCCUAAGUUAAUUUCAUGUGGAUAAUAUUUUAAAGGAUAUAUUUGCAAUUAGCCAAUAUAAUGUAAUAUCAACGCACAUAAAAUGGAAUAAAAAGGCGCAAGAAAAAAGUUAAAGGAUCUAUUUUCUGAGAUUUAUAGCGCAAAGAUAAAAAGACCAAUUUUUGCACGAUCUAAUAAGCUAUCGGAGCAUACAUAGAAAAACUACAAUACAAAAAAAUUUAAGCUAGAAGUCCUAAACAUGAGAAGGCUGAACUUAAUAUAUUUUAUUCUACGAUUAAUUUCUCAGAUUAGGACAUAUGAAAAAUUCUAAAGAACCAUAUCCUAAAAUCUAAGGCUAUAUAGCUAAAAUAGGAAGGCUAACCUUUGAACGGUUGAUUCAGCUACCAGUGCACGUAAGAUAAGAUAAGCCGCAAAAAAAGAAGCCAGAGAAGUCUAAAAUUUAGGACCCAAAUAUAGGCAAACAUAGGGAAAGCCAAGAAGAUCCCAAAAUUUAUGGCCUUAACAUAGGAAGACCAAUCUUGCACGGUUGAUUCAACAACCAAUUUCGCUUAGAGUGCAAAAUUGAAGCUAGAAAAUUCAUAUCCAAGAAAUUAAUACCCGAACGUAAGAAGGCCAAACGAAAGAGGAGCAAUCAUCGAAUGUACACACACACAUGUAGCAUAUCUAACAGGUAGCCCGACAGCAGCACCACCACCACACCCAAACGAAGGGGAGUAGAACGUAAAGGGAAGCUGUAUCGAUUGGAGGCUUUGCUGGGUAACCACCGGCAGCUUCCGUUGGUCCUGCACUCUCCUCCAAAUCUCGCCAUUGGAAAGCCAACGAAUUUUACACCACGUGUUCCAUCGACCAUGUCCAAAGGUCCCGCUUGCUCGAGCUGCCAUGAAUAGACCCGAGUCUCGACUCGACUAACAGAUUUCGUGAUUCCUGUAAUUAAGUUAAUCGAAUCGCCUUUGCAUACAUGCUGGUCUGGCUUAAUAUACAAUCUCGCCACGGCUAUUCUAACUAUUGGAGUUUAAAGUAAUACAUCGUGAAUCUCCAAAGGCGUAUACGUUAAAAGAUAUUUUAAUUCUCUUUAGGAUCCGAAUGAUUUGACGAUCGUACGUUGAUCGUUUCUAAAUCGAAUUCGUGAUUGAAGGUAUCAAAUCAACUCAAUUUCAGAUUUUUUAUAAUAUUUUAUAAUUAUUAUAAAUAUACAGAUUUCAACACAAAGUUUCUAUUCGAAUAGAAAAAUAAUUAUAUAUUACAUACAUAUAUUAUUGCGAGGGAUCACAAGUAAAAUUGCUUGUACGCGCAAAACCAUGCACAUUACUCGAAUCGUGUAACGAUCAAAUUUGCCAUUAAACGAGUAACAUCGCUGUAAAUUCGAAAUCGGAUUGAAAAGCAACUCUUCAUUAUAUUAUAGAAUUUUCGAGAUCAAUGAAUGUUACAAAUGCAUCAGCCAUGUUGAGACGAAAAAGAUGAACCGCAAAUUGUGGUUCGAACCAACCGACUAAAAUGGAACUAGCAGCUAUCGUGAUAGUAAUUAGAUCUAGUUCCAUUGGUUAAAUAGUUGCAAAUGAGAAAAUACCAUUGUCUAUCCGAAUCAAAUGUGUUGUAUGCGAUGCAUAUAGGAAGAAAAUUCAUUCGAUUCACACUAACAGUCGAUGCACGAGCACAAAUGCUAUUUCAAUAUGGCUGCACGUGAUUGGAACGUGAAUGUUGAGAUAAAUCUCGUUCUCCAGGAUUGCGUUAUCAUCAUCAAAAUAUAUUCUGGACAAUUUAAGAAGAUAAUAUCAAAGUUAUAAAGAAACAAAUACGAUUAGUUACAAAAU